CAGGAACCGCGCCUGUCCCGGGCAGGCGGCCGCCAUCUCCCUGGCCGCCGCCUCCAAAAAGCGCCCGUGCAGCCCCAUGACGAUCAGCGCCCGCCCCGCCGGAAGGGCCGUGCCUGCCUCUGUGUUUGUUGCCACCUGGAAGAUUUCAACCAAGAACCCCACUUAAUGUUCGGAAGCGCCCAUACGAUGCACCCGUCCAGAUUUUAGCAACGGUGUACUUGGCCUUAUCACUCCGCAAAUGUGCUCCUAUUAAAAAUUAAAAA
This is a long non-coding RNA of Cygnus olor (mute swan), 263 nucleotides long. RefSeq lists it as uncharacterized. The transcript has 2 exons. NCBI's taxonomy places the organism in Eukaryota, Metazoa, Chordata, Aves, Anseriformes, Anatidae. The record is from RefSeq and is a predicted model, not a curated record.